Sinocyclocheilus rhinocerous is the source of this 218-nucleotide long non-coding RNA. RefSeq lists it as uncharacterized. The record is from RefSeq and is a predicted model, not a curated record. Lineage: Eukaryota; Metazoa; Chordata; Actinopteri; Cypriniformes; Cyprinidae. The transcript is spliced from 3 exons.
GGUUUUGCUUGACAAUGGCAAGAUUUCUGGUGUUUGCGCUGCUGACUCUGUUGUCCUUCUCUUCUCACACGCGAGCCGAAAUCUUCACAUCAAUUGGCCAAAUGACAGACCUGAUAUUUACAGAGAGGAAGCUUGUCAAGUCCCUGAAAGAAUACAUUGAAGCAGAAGAGAUGAAACUUGAAGCUGUGAAGAGCUGGGCUAAUAAACUGGAUAUGUUG